Molecule: non-coding RNA, 95 nt
Filed under: delta proteobacterium NaphS2
Lineage: Bacteria; Deltaproteobacteria
Also listed under: 1 other name
Description: TPP riboswitch aptamer (THI element)
Rfam family: TPP riboswitch aptamer (THI element)
About the family: Vitamin B(1) in its active form thiamin pyrophosphate (TPP) is an essential coenzyme that is synthesised by coupling of pyrimidine and thiazole moieties in bacteria. The previously detected thiamin-regulatory element, thi box was extended, resulting in a new, highly conserved RNA secondary structure, the THI element, which is widely distributed in eubacteria and also occurs in some archaea.
Source: Rfam by way of RNAcentral
CAUCGCUGCAAGGGGUGCCGGAAAACCGGCUGAGAAUUAUACCCUUCAAACCUGAUCCGGAUAAUACCGGCGGAGGGAUGUGGCCGCAGACAAAG